This 691-nucleotide long non-coding RNA is filed under the name Populus tremula. RNAcentral's name for it is "long non-coding RNA (PTRE_LNC003406)". Lineage: Eukaryota; Viridiplantae; Streptophyta; Magnoliopsida; Malpighiales; Salicaceae. The record is from RNAcentral.
UUGGUCUUUAGUAGAAGAAAGAACAACAUGCAGAGGCAUGUUCCCUUUCCUGUUAAGAAGUUGUUCUUGUGUUCUGAGUGAUUUAUGUUUUAAAUAAGGAGGGCAGACAGUUGUGCCUGCCUUGUGUUUCUGGUCUGAGAGGGCACUUAGCUGUGCCUGCCUCGUGCUUAUAGUCUGAGAGGGCACCUCGUCGUGCCUGACUUGGGAUGUGGUUUUCUCCCUGUAAAGUUGAACUUAAGUCGGUGAUUAUGCUAUAAUAUGUAUUAAUUAAUGAAACUUGUGUCAAGAACUGGUUGGCGGUGAACAACUUCCUGCAACUUUUAUUCUUUUUCUCCAAGCUGCAUUCAUGAUCACUGAUCAUCCUGCAAAGGAGCUGCAGGCUGUGACUCAUCAGGCCUUGUGUAUUUUGGUCAAAGGUCCAUUGACUUGGGCUGCCUGCCAAUGCUGCACAUGCUAGCAAGUUUUGAGCAUCUGGUAUUGUGGCUGCAGGUAAUCCUCACCUGCAGCCACAAAUAUUGUUAUUAGAUAAUGCUUUAAAAACAAUUUUUUACUAGUAGGGUCCUCUACCAAUCAUGACCGUGCCACAGGUUUACAAGAAGCUUUGUUGUUUUUUGUGCUGUGAAAAUUUAGUGGGUUCCACUGUUCAUGGUUUUUUCGAUGAAAAUUAGAGUAUAUUUUUACUGUUUUGGCC